Molecule: long non-coding RNA, 1819 nt
Organism: Phyllopteryx taeniolatus (common seadragon)
Lineage: Eukaryota; Metazoa; Chordata; Actinopteri; Syngnathiformes; Syngnathidae
Exons: 6
Source: RefSeq, a predicted model, not a curated record
AUCGGCUUGCCUGAAGUGCUCAAGGCCGUGCGAGGGGUUACGUUAGCUUCUGAAAUCAUCUUUGUGUCGGAGAUCACGACCAGCGUUGCGUGCAUAAAUGUGUCCUCCUAAGCACUCUGAUUUCGUCGUCAGCUACUCGGCUAAAUUGGGACUCCUUGUUUGUUCUGGUCAGGCAACUCAAGUUCCUCAAAUUUCCGAGGUUUGACGCCGGAUGCCCACCAUGACGCGACCCGCCCUAUCUUUCCGCGUGCCCUGACUGUCGACUGUGAUUGUAAACUGAUUCUUGAAAUAUCAGUGGCAACCGACCAGCAGAUACCAGACAUCACGUGGACAGACAACCUUCUCCAUACCACAUACCUCCUCCGUUUUGGACAACCGACGUCACGCACCACCUGCUCCGUACCACACUCAUUGUACGCCAGAUAGCUGCUGCAUUUUGAACAAAUGAGAUCACAGACCACCUGCUCCAUACCAUGUGUGACCGGAUGUGCCGUUAUCUAUCACAGGCGUGACUAGAGAUGACGUCAUGGGACACAGGUGCUCGGGGCGAUCACAUUUUAAUAUCCCUCUCUUGUACGAAAAGUGAGAAAAGAUCAGCAAAUAUAUUCUAUUGGAAUACUCUUUUAUUGUUAUUAUUAUUAUUUUUGACAGUUGAUAACACGUAGACGUUGCUAGAACCGCUCGCCAUGACAAAAUAUUUGGGACUCCGAAUGAGUUUGUGCUUUAUAUCAUGGUUUAGAACCUUGUGGAUUGGACUCGUUUUCACUGUCAUUCGUUGUCUUCAUCAAAGUCCCAUAUUUAUCUUGUGGUGCUGAGCAGCACAAAUUAAUGCGCCGCUCAGACCCGCUUUUGAUGCUUCCUUUCUUUGUCAGUGACCACACGCGUGAGACAUAUUUUUGCUUAAGGAAGUUUGGCAGGCACAGUUGACGGCUUUGAUCCCUUGAGUUCAAUUUGCCUCAUAUUAAAGUCCAUGGUUUUCUCAAUGACAGAACCUUCUGCAAGGAAACAAUCAUUUGACGGGUUCCUAGUUUUUGUUAUUCGCAAGAAGAUGCUUUGUAACAUUCUUAUCUUGGCUGUUGACACUUUAUGCGACAAAUUAGGCACUUUUCAAGCAACUUUUGGUAACGGAAUAAUUUCCUCUGCUGAUUGUCAUCGUAACAUUACGAAGUAUGUCAUUAUUUUCUCUUGACAUGACAUUCAUUCUUUAAAAAAAAAAAAAAAAGGUCAUAGUGCAUGACCGCACUCUUUAUCUUUUGUAACUGUUUAGCAUGAGCAUAAUAUCAUAGUAUUAUGUUCAUUCUAUGGAGAUGUGCAGUUUAUUGAUAGACUGGUGGUAGUCACACGUUCAGCUGCCUUUUGCUGAAAAAUGAAGGUCCAUUUCGACAAAAUGUCAACUAGAUGAAAAUGAAUCUGUUAUUAUUUUCCAUCCAUCCAUGCGUUUCCUAUACCACUUAACCUGUUCAGGUUCAUGGGGAGCUAAAGCCUAUGUUAUACAGUGGACCCCUGCACAUUUGCAAUUUGCCAUUUGUAAAUUCACCUAUUCUCAGAUUUUUUUGGGGGGGACCUAUCCUCUGUUAUUUGCAGGAAAAACUUGGCUUUUUCACAAUUUUGAGCAUUUUUAGUUGCGCUAUCCUGUCUACAGUAUGUAUGAUCUUUAAUUGCAUUGUAGCGUCCCAUUGGUUGAGAUGAUGAAUGGUCACUGCUGGCUGUAAACAUGGCAAAAAAGCCACUGGAAUCUAAAUUGUUAUGCAAUUUAUAUUUUUCUUUGAUUUUCUUAAAUAGUUGAUACAAAUGACAGCUGCCAUAAUGUUCAGGUCAU